GGAGGUCUCAAGGUUGGCAAGUAUGUUCAUUAGUAUCGCGGUACUAUACUAAUACCGGUAUACCGUACAACCCUAUAUGAACGUGGCUUAUCAUCACUCUAAGGGAUGCUGCUUGUUGGGAAAGACUUCAGGGAGAAUGAGCUGAUGUUAUUUCCUCAGAAGUUCCCUUUCAACACGACUCGAUCUGUCUCCAAGUGAAGUAGCAGCAGCGAGGUGCGCUCUUUGGAGUGAAGGUCAUGACCCCAAAAAGAAGGAGACAGCAGGCCACAGGCAAGUAAAUGAGAAUUGAAUGUCCAAAUGUGUCACACAAAAAGAGUUCGGAAAGAUCAAAGCACAAAAAAAGGCACUGGAAAAGCUGUGUUUCAAAAUAAAGGCAAGCUGGAUUGGAGAGCGAACAAACAAAACUCAAUUUAAAAGGGAAAAAAUUCUCAAAGUCCACAUAAAGUGCGCGCUCCUCCCACGGACAAACAGACACCAAAGUAUUGCAAUGAUCCCA
Long non-coding RNA from Nerophis lumbriciformis (worm pipefish), 496 nucleotides. RefSeq lists it as uncharacterized. The record is from RefSeq and is a predicted model, not a curated record. NCBI's taxonomy places the organism in Eukaryota, Metazoa, Chordata, Actinopteri, Syngnathiformes, Syngnathidae.